ACUAACAAGGAUUCCCCUAGUAACUGCGAGUGAAGCGGGAAAAGCUCAAAUUUAAAAUCUGGCGGUCUCUGGCCGUCCGAGUUGUAAUCUAGAGAAGUAAUGCCCGUGCUGGACCGUGUAUAAGUCUCCUGGGAUGGGGCGUCAUAGAGGGUGAGAAUCCCGUCUUUGACACGGACUACCAGUGCAUUGUGGUAUGCUCUCAAAGAGUCGAGUUGUUUGGGAAUGCAGCUCAAAAUGGGUGGUAAAUUCCAUCUAAAGCUAAAUACUGGCGAGAGACCGAUAGCGAACAAGUACCGUGAGGGAAAGAUGAAAAGAACUUUGGAAAGAGAGUUAAACAGUACGUGAAAUUGCUGAAAGGGAAACGCUUGAAGUCAGUCGCGUUGGCCGGGGAUCAGCCUUGCUUCUGCAUGGUGUACUUUCUGGUUGACGGGUCAGCAUCAAUUUUGACCGCUGGAAAAGGUUCAGGGGAAUGUGGCAGCUCCGGCUGUGUUAUAGCCCUUGUUCACAUACAGCGGUUGGGAUUGAGGAACUCAGCACGCCGAAAGGCCGGGUUUCGACCACGUUCGUGCUUAGGAUGCUGGCAUAAUGGCUUUAAGCGACCCGUCUUGAAACACGGACCAAGGAGUCUAACAUGCCUGCGAGUAUUUGGGUGGAAAACCCAAGUGCGUAAUGAAAGUGAAAGUUGAGAUCCCUGUCGUGGGGAGCAUCGACGCCCGGACCAGAACUUUUGGGACGGAUCCGCGGUGGAGCAUGUAUGUUGGGACCCGAAAGAUGGUGAACUAUGCCUGAAUAGGGUGAAGCCAGAGGAAACUCUGGUGGAGGCUCGUAGCGAUUCUGACGUGCAAAUCGAUCGUCAAAUUUGGGUAUAGGGGC
RNAcentral lists this ribosomal RNA (873 nucleotides) under Agaricus parvisporus. RNAcentral describes it as "Agaricus sp. BOS-2020h partial large subunit ribosomal RNA". It matches the Rfam family "Eukaryotic large subunit ribosomal RNA", at positions 64 to 924 of the family's 3401-position model. Lineage: Eukaryota; Fungi; Basidiomycota; Agaricomycetes; Agaricales; Agaricaceae. The record is from RNAcentral.